This 354-nucleotide ribosomal RNA is filed under the name Doto antarctica. RNAcentral's name for it is "partial 16S ribosomal RNA". It matches the Rfam family "Bacterial large subunit ribosomal RNA", at positions 1956 to 2597 of the family's 2925-position model. The record is from RNAcentral. Lineage: Eukaryota; Metazoa; Mollusca; Gastropoda; Nudibranchia; Dotidae.
GUAGCGUAAUCAGUUGGCUUUUAAAUGGAGUCAGGAAUGAAUGGGAUAACCAGGCUUAGCUGUCUCUUUUUUAAUAAAUUGAAUUUACUUUGUAAGUGAAAAAGCUUACUAAUAGAAGGGGGAGGAGAAGACCCUUAGAAUUUUACUUAAAUGUUUAAGCAUACUGGUUUUGUUGGGGUGACAAAGAAAUAUAUUAUAACUUUCUUUAAAAUACUUGCCGACUAUAGUAAGUAAGAAUAAAUUACCUGAGGGAUAACAGCAUAAUUCUAUAAUUGAGUUUGUGACCUCGAUGUUGGACUAGGAAACUAACAAGCUAGCCGUUUGUUUUGUGGGUUCUGUUCGAACUUAAUUCCU